Molecule: ribosomal RNA, 446 nt
Filed under: uncultured bacterium
Lineage: Bacteria
Description: partial 16S ribosomal RNA
Rfam family: Bacterial small subunit ribosomal RNA
Source: RNAcentral
CCUACGGGUGGCAGCAGUCGAGAAUCAUUCACAAUGGGGGAAACCCUGAUGGUGCGACGCCGCGUGGGGGAAUGAAGGUCUUCGGAUUGUAAACCCCUGUCAUGUGGGAGCAAAUUAAAAAGAUAGUACCACAAGAGGAAUAGCCGGCUAACUCUGUGCCAGCAGCCGCGGUAAUACAGAGGUCUCAAGCGUUGUUCGGAAUCACUGGGCGUAAAGCGUGCGUAGGCUGUUUCGUAAGUCGUGUGUGAAAGGCGCGGGCUCAACCGGCGAACGGCACCUGAAACUGGGAGACUAGAGUAAAGGAGGGGGAACCGGAAUUCGCGGUGUAGCAGUGAAAUGCGUAGAUAUCGAGAGGAACACUCGUGGCGAAGGCAGGUUCCUGGACAGUAACUGACGCUGAGGCACGAAGGCCAGGGGAGCGAAAGGGAUUAGAUACCCCUGUAGUC